Molecule: ribosomal RNA, 253 nt
Filed under: uncultured bacterium
Lineage: Bacteria
Description: partial 16S ribosomal RNA
Rfam family: Bacterial small subunit ribosomal RNA
Source: RNAcentral
UACAUGUGGGGCAAGCGUUGUCCGGAUUUAUUGGGCGUAAAGAGCUCGUAGGCGGUUUGUCGCGUCUGCCGUGAAAGUCCGGGGCUCAACUCCGGAUCUGCGGUGGGUACGGGCAGACUAGAGUGAUGUAGGGGAGACUGGAAUUCCUGGUGUAGCGGUGAAAUGCGCAGAUAUCAGGAGGAACACCGAUGGCGAAGGCAGGUCUCUGGGCAUUAACUGACGCUGAGGAGCGAAAGCAUGGGGAGCGAACAGG